AUUUCCUAAAGAGGCAUUUUGAAACAUUGAAAAUUUGGAAGAGUUUUAUGAUCAUUAUUACUCCAUGUUUGUUGUACUAUAAAAUGAUUCAUAAUUGUCAAUGGCAUUUUUUAGCAAAUACUAAACUAUCACCACAAAAGUUCCGUAAAUUUUGACGUCGUCAUAAAAUAUAUCUGACGUCACAAUGGAAAAGUAAACAAC
This 201-nucleotide long non-coding RNA is filed under the name Mytilus galloprovincialis (Mediterranean mussel). The record is from RNAcentral. Lineage: Eukaryota; Metazoa; Mollusca; Bivalvia; Mytilida; Mytilidae.